Molecule: transfer RNA, 75 nt
Filed under: Lusitaniella coriacea LEGE 07167
Lineage: Bacteria; Bacillati; Cyanobacteriota; Cyanophyceae; Spirulinales; Lusitaniellaceae
Also listed under: 1 other name
Description: tRNA-Lys
Rfam family: tRNA
About the family: Transfer RNA (tRNA) molecules are approximately 80 nucleotides in length.
Source: RNAcentral
GGGUUGCUGGCAGAAUGGGUAUGCACCUGCCUCUUAAGCAGAGUUAUCGAGGUUCGAUUCCUCGGCGACCCACCA